This is a non-coding RNA of Oryctolagus cuniculus (rabbit), 7521 nucleotides long. The record is from RefSeq and is a predicted model, not a curated record. NCBI's taxonomy places the organism in Eukaryota, Metazoa, Chordata, Mammalia, Lagomorpha, Leporidae.
GUUAGGACAAUGCUUUCCCACAGUUGGGACUUUCCAGAGGAGUUGAGAAUGUUGUAAACAACAAGAUGGCGCCGAGGACCACGCGGUGAGCCUGCCUGCUGCGUGACACCUCAUCUGAUUGGCCCGAGGACGCGUGCACACUGCGUGAACAGACAGCGGAUUGGAGUGUUCCGUGCAUGGACUUGAGCCCGCUUGCAAUUGGCCAGAUUUUGUAUAUAAGCUGUGUGCUGAGGAAGGAGGGGGCUUUCCUGUCCACUCUCCUCCCUUCAUUCUUUCUCUGUCACUGUUAUUUUCUCAUUAAAAGUCUACUGAAGACCGAUAAGCUGCGAACAGUGUCGUUUCUUUGCGGGCAAGGGAGCGACAAGUGGUUCCAUGACUCGGAUUCGGACCACUUUCUACACGCAGGAAUAGAUAGGUUAAGCCUACAGCCUCCACCUGCAAGGCCUGAGUCCCACAUGUGCACCAGUUCAUAUCUCAGCUGCUCCACUUCUGAUCCAGCUCCCUGAUAAUAUAAUAGCCUGGGCAAAGCAACAGAAGAUGGUCCAAGUUCGGGCCUCUACCACCCACGUGGGAGAAGUUACUGCCUCCUGGCUUCAGCCUGCCCAAGCCCAACUUUUGCAGCGCUUUGCUCUCUGCUAUGGCCUGAGAAAGCAGUAGAAAAUGGUCCAAGUCUUUGAGGCCCUGCACUGCUUGGGAGACCUGAAAGAAGCUCCUGGCACCUGGCUUUGGAUUGGCGCAGCUCCGGCCAUUGCGGCCAAUUGUGGAGGGAACCAGCAGAUGGAAGACUUCUCCUUCUCUGUGCAACUUUGACUUUCAAAUAAAUAAAUAAAUCUUUAAAAAAAACCCAAACUAUAGUUGAUUUAGUUAAUUUUCUUUAUAAGGAAAUCCACCAGAAGCAAUGCAAUUCUUUCCAGUAUUAAUUGAAUUCACAGUUCUUGCAAGAAAUGCAAAUGAGUUCUUAGAAAUUUCUAUUUAACAAAAUCAUGGUUAAAAAUUCUUCAGGCUCAUAUGCCUCAAUAUACCAUUAUAAUUAUUGAUUCUUUUUUAUGGAUUGAAGGUAACAUGGGGAUGGGGUUGACACAAUAAUAACUGCAGAUUUAAGUAAUCUAUAAACAUUUGUCAUGAAAAUAUGCUCUGCUAAAAUAGAGCAAAAAUUGGAAAUUCAAAUUAGGUGGGUCUUACAACGAGCAAAAUAAAUAAAGUAUAAGAGACAUGGCAUGGCAGAGGGAUGGUGGGGAGGAAGAGUUAGGGAGGUGGGGAGGACAUGUAACCAUCUAAAGGUCCGUGACUGUCAGCUCAGAUAGCUGCCUUUUGGCAAUGCAGGCCCAAUAUUGUCAUUACACAUACACAUUUUUUCAAGAAAGACGGAAAAGCUGAAUCCUUAUAUGAAAUAUCUUACUUUUUUUGAUAUUUCAUCAAAAAGAAUAACAUUUUAGAGUGAACUACUGAGUGCUUCAGCAAAAAUGCCUCUUUCUGCACCUGGCAAUGACGUCUAGUUUAAUGAAAUUUUUACCAUCGAGUAAAUGUUAGUCAACAGUAAGUUGCUUGUAGGGAACAAUAUCAGGAAUAAAACACUGCACACUGUAUGUGACUUUCAUAUGUUCAUAGUUAUAUAACUUCUUCCUCUUACAAAGAACAAAAAACCUAACUGCAGACGUCUUGAUUUUUUUCAUGUUCAUUUAUUUGAAAAACAGAAUGAGAGAGAGACAGAGAGAAAGAGAGAGAGAGAGAGAGAAAUUCUGUCUACUGGGUCACUCCCCAAAUGGCCUGAUUUGUCAGGGGGUCAGGCUGAAGCCAGGAGCUUGGAACUACAAAAGAGUCUUCCAUGUGGGUGGUAGAGGUCCAUGUACAUGAGCCUUGGGAAGCAUUCACAGGGAGCUGGACUGGAAACGGGCAGCUGGAACUCUAAUUGGUGUUACAAUGUGCAAUUCCCAGACUACUUGAUAACAUCAUUUACUGCUAUUAGAUUUCUGCACAUUGCCACACAGAAACAUUGCCCUAACCUAUUAAACGUUCCUUUCUUAAAAAAGAUUUAUUUACUUAUUUGAAAGUCAGAGUUACACAGAGAGAGAGAGAGAAAGAGAGGUCUUCCAUCUGCUGGUUCACUCCCCAGUUGGCCACAACAGUCAGAGCUGAGCCGAUCCAAACCCAGGAACCAGGAGCUUCAUCUGAAUCUCCCACAUGAGCUCAGGGGCCCAAGGACUUGGGUCAUCUUCUACUGCCUUCCGAGGCCAUAGCAGAGAGCUGGAUCUGCAGUGGAGCAUCUGGGUCUUGAACCGGUGCACAUAUGGAAUGCAAGCAAUGCAGCUUUACCUGCUCUGCCACAGUGCCCGUCCCUUAAAGUUUCCUUUUAAGACCUCUUGCUUUUGAAUCAUAAAGAGCAUAUUGCCUUUUUUCAUAUGUAGGGAAUAAAAUACAGGGAUUCUUAUUAAUCUAGUAAACUUUCUCCCUAAAUUUUUGGCAAUGCGACCCCGCUUCUAUUCUAUUCUAUUCUAUUCUAUUCUAUAUAUAUAUAUAUUCUGUUCAUAUGGAUGCAGUAAAAUAAGAGAUAAUAAAGAAGUGCUAAUUAAAAAAAAAAGAUUUAUUUAUUUAUUUAUUUACUUGAAAAUCAGAGUUACAGAGAGGGAAAUAUCUUCUGUCUGCUGGUUCACUCCCCAUUCUGUCGCAACAGUUGGGGCUCCAGAGGCAGGAGCUUUUCUGAGCCUCCAACAUGAGUGCAUGGGCCGAAACUGUUGGGCCACAUUCUGCUGCUUUUCUCAGGCCAUAAGCAGGGAGCUGGAUCAGAACUGGUGUAGCCAGGAUGUGAACCAGUGCCAUAAGGGAUGUUGGUGUCACAGGCAGCAGUUUACCUACUAAGCCAGAACACUGGCCCCUAUUUUUUAUUUUUUAUCUGUAGACUAAUGUUGCUAUUAAUAUUUAUUUACUUUUUAUUUUUUAGGCAGUGGGGAGAAAGAUAGUGAGAGAGAGAAAAAGGGAGAGAGAGAGAGGUUGAGAGAGACACAUCCUCUACCUGCCAGUUCACUCCACAGUUGUUCAGCUAAGGCUAAGCCAGGGCAAAACAGGAGCCUGGAAUUCAAUUCAACUCUCCACCAGGGGUGGUAGGUACUCAGGGACUCAGCUACCUGAGCCAUCACCUGCUACCCACUAGGAAGCACAUUAACUGGUAGCUAUUGUCAAACUGUAGUGCAGGGCAGUUGAAAACAACAGACAAUCACACAAAUAUGAGGUGGAUUCUUCAACUUGUUGUGGAAAAAUAAAAAUUUAAAUAUGUGUAUAUACAUAUAUAUAUCUGUUGCAGUAUUUUUAAAAAAUAGACACUACCAUUCUUACAUUUUACAUACUUUUGGCUGUAUCCUUAUUUUCCAACUAUUUGCAUUCUUGUGCACCAGAAUGAAGAAUGCUUGUGCCAAUAAUUAUAUCUUCUAAAUCACAGUAUUUCCAUCUGUUGUAGUCACCAGUUAGUCCUUUAAUAUUAAUUAAAUUAUUGACCAUGUUUUUGGAUGUCAAUGAAAUUUUUAAUUUUAAAACUUAAGUUUAUAUUUUCAUAAAAAGAGCAUGGAUAGAAUUAGAAUUCCUCUAGGUAACAGGAAGCAGGAAAUAGAUAUUUGAUAGUGAACUGAUAAAAUCUUCCACACAAACAAUUUAAUUUUGUGUCAUUUUUGACACUUUUUCCAUAUAGCCCAUGUGACUCAGGGAAGCUUACUGCAUUAGUGACUCUGGGUACAUUCUAAUUAGUCCCAACAAAUCACUGGAAAAUGCUUUCUGGUGGCUUUCACUGGUCAAAUAGACGGCAUGUGAUCUAAACUAUCCCAAUCAGGCUAAACGAAAUAAUUUAUAUUCUAUUUUUUUUUUUUUUUGACAGGCAGAGUGGACAGUGUGAGAGAGAGACAGAGACAAAGGUCUUCCUUUGCCAUUGGUUCACCCUCCAAUGGCCGCCACGGCUGGCGCACUGCACUGAUCCUAUGGCAGGAGCCAGGUGCUUCUCCUGGUCUCCCAUGGGGUGCAGGGCCCAAGGACUUGGGCUAUCCUCCACUGCACUCCCUGGCCACAGCAGAGAGCUGGCCUGGAAGAGGGGCAACCGGGACAGAAUCCGGCGCCCCGACCGGGACUAGAACCCAGUGUGCCAGCGCCGCAAGGUGGAGGAUUAGCCUAGUGAGCUGCGGUGCCGGCCAACCACUUUUGAGGUACUCACAUAAUUCUCACUUCCUUCUUUCUGUCCACCCAAUACUCUAUCCUCAAAUCCUUCGGUCUUUAUUCUAACACACGAAACCCAGGGCAAAAGUUCUACCAAUUACUAUUGGCAGCUAUCUUGUGUCUAGGAGGAUAAUUAGUAUGCAAAUAAUUAGCAUACAGAUGACAUAUCACAGAUAUGGAGACAACCUGGAUUCUUAUUCACAUUCCUGGGAUGCACUGGUGCUUACUUUACUUAAGACUCACUGUCAAAUAGGUAACGAAUGUUCUGUUUGUUUAAACCAAAACAUAAAAAUAGCAUACAAUAUUAUAAAAUAUUGCUAGUCUGUUACCAUGUCUAUACAGAAAUUAACAUAUUUAAAAUUCCACAAAAUGUUAUUUUUUUCUAUAAGAAAAAAUUAGAAUGGUGAUAGAAAUAACAACAAUUAAUAUGUGCUGAAAUAGAAGAAACAUAAAUGGCUGCAUCUGUAAAAUGCCAUAAUUAAUGCAUUGUACUUUUUCAGAAAGUGAUGUUCACUCUGCCUAAGAGAUUACCAAAGAGAAAAUUGCUGUAAUUUGUAUGCUGUAGACUCCAGCAGAACCUUGCUGACUCAGUGGCUGACUAACAAGUAGACUAAUUUAGGUUUAAUAUCAAUUCUGUUCAUUUAUUAGUGGUGUGAAAAAGCACUAAAAAGGUCAAAAGUCGGGUGUAAAGAGGGAGAAGUAAUAUUAUGUUGAUAAUCUACUGAACUGGAGAACUCUGAAUAUUGUAGAAGCAAGUCUACUCACGUAACUACAUUCUUUAAAAAGCUGGUAAUACAUUCUGAGUUUAACUUACAUAGCAAUCUAAAUGGUUAGAUUCAUGUACAAUUAAGUCAAUAAACUGAGUGAAUAGCAAACCAAAAAGAAUUACACCAUUCAGCACACAUUUAUUCAAAAUUUAAUUACUUGUAACUACAGAACUUAUAUUUCAAUAGUGCACAUGCAGAUACUAAAAACCUGUUUGUUAACAGAUUGAUUUAAUGGUCAAAUUAUCAACUUUCCUAAGAGACUGUAUAAUGAUACAUAGAAGAAGAAUGCAAUUAUAUUUAUUAAACUUAUAGAAAAUUAUUAAAUUAUUUUAAAUUCCUUUCUUGAAAAAUAGGCAUGUUGGGAACUUUUAAGUAAAAUGUCAAACCAUAUUUAAAUUUAGCAACCUGGUAAAAGGAAUUGCUCCUAAGACUUCUCAGUGUAAAAAUGGACAGCAAGAGACUUGUUUACAUCUUUGGAAGGUGAAAUUCUCAGUAAUGACAACAGCUUACCACAGAUGACUCAAGUCAGCUCACAAUGCUUUUGUCACAGACAGAAAGGCACGAGGACAUCCAUGAUUAAGAAUAACAUCGUGUGCAUGGGUUUGAAAAUCAGCAACACUUAUCUGUUGAUCUUGGGAUCAGUGAUUCCGAGACAAGGUGACUACUGAGACUACAUGUGUUGUCAGACUAAUUGGAUAAACUGGCAGUGAUAUAGCAAAUGGGAGUGCAACAGAGCAGCUUUAAAAUGUCAACACUUAUACAAGUGAGGCUUUUAGCUUUAAAAAAGAACUUUUAUCAAUAAAUAAGAGGUAUAAAAUUAGAUAAAUGAUGCACAAACCAAUACUGUAAAAGAAAUGAGCUGGUAUACAAGUUAUGAGAUAGAGUUUGCAUCAUUUAAUAUUUCUAAGAUUUCCUCUUCACUAAAACAAGAGAAUAUUUUCCCCAAGGUUUAGAAUGAAGAUAAUAAUAUUGAAAAUCAUUGCAAUUUUAAAUCACAAAAAGGCCAGCUGGCUCCUGUUCAUGUGCUCUUGACAACUAUGCAAAGCACCCUCAGUUCCAAAUGUCUUCAAAAAUACUAUGACAUGAACAGUGUGCUAAUAUUUACACAGGUUUUGAAUAUGGAGAAAACAAACUGUAAUAGCAAUAAUCAUGAAGGAGUAAAUUACUAGAGCUAAGUGGAUUCCAAAUUAUUUUUUAAAAUAAUAACCAUCCUGGGGCCAGGGCUGUGGCACAGCGAGUUAAAACGCUGGCCUUGAAGCACCGGCAUCCCAUAUGGGCGCCAGUUCUAGUCCUGGCUGUUCUUCCUCUGAUCCAGCUCUCUGAAAUGGCCUGGGAAAACAGUGGAAGAUGACCCAAGUCCUUGGGCUCCUGCACCAACGUGGGAGACCCAGAGGAAGCUCCUGGCUCCUGGCUUCAGAUUGGCACAACUCCGGGGUUGCGGACAUCUGGGAAGUGAACCGGUGGAUGGAAGACCUCUCUCUCUGUCUCUACCUCUCUCUGUAACCCUUUCAAAGCAAUAAAAUAAAUCUUUAAAAAAUGAAAUAAAAUAAUAAACAUCCUAACAGUUGUGAGGUUAUAUGCUGUUGUGAUUUUCAUCUUGACAAUUAUCAACUUUGAGUAUCUUGCCGCAUAUCAUCUGUUGCCCAUUCUCAUGUCAUCUUUUAGUAAGCGUCAUUUCAACUCCUCAGUCCAUUUCUAAUUGGGUUGUUUACUGGAACAAGGUUGCAAGAGUUAUUUACAUAUAUUAGAUAUUAAUCUCCUAUUAGAUACAUGGUUGAAAUAUCUUCUCCAUUUCUUAUUUUGUCUUUUUUUCUUUGUUGGUUUUUUGGUGUGCAGAAGCCAUUACAUCUGAUUUUUAUUUCUUUCUGCUUUUAUUACCUAUGAUUUUGGUGUCAUAUUCAAGGAAUCAUUGUCCAGAUCAAUGCCAUCAAAAUUUCUGCUAUAUUUUCUUCCAGUUAUAUUGAUAUGGACCUUAUGACCAUGAAUCUAUUUUGAGUUGAUUUUGUGGACUCUGUAUUAUAAGGACUAUUUCAUUCUUUUCCACAAGGAGGUCCAGUUGUCCUUGGACCAUUAGCUGAGAGAGUAUUCUUAUUAUUUUCUAGGCACCCUAGUUGAAGGUCAGUUCACUAUAUGUACAUAGGUUAUUGCAUAAAUAAAAGGUAUGAAGUCUUGGUGAGAAUGUGAACAAACUGGAAUACCUGUGCACUGUUGGUGGAGAUGUAAAUGAUGCAGAGCUAUGGAACAAAGUAUGAGGUUAUCUCAGUGUUUCAAAAUAGAAUAGCCAAUUACACUUCUUACUGUAUUUCAUUUCUCCCUAUUCUAUGUUUGUUGCAACAUUAAUCACCAUAGACAAGAUGCAGAGACAACCUAAGUAUCUGUCAACAAAUACUAGCUGAUAGAAUCAAAAAGGGAGAGAACGAUCCAACAAGGGAAGUGAGAUACACAGCAGACCCAUAGAAUGGCAGAUGUCCUGAACAGCACUCUGGCCUCAGAAUCAGCCCUUAAGGCAUGCAGAUCCGGCUGAAAAGCCCAUGAAAGUAUUUCAGGCAUGGAAAGCCAA